CGGGUGCACUGAUCCGGCCGGGCCUUUCCCCUCUGUGGAACCCCAUGGCCUUCACUGGCUGUGCGGGGGAAACAGGACUUUUACUGUGAAAAAAUUAGAGUGCUCCAGGCAGGCCUAUGCUCGAAUACAUUAGCAUGGAAUAAUAGAAUAGGACGCGUGGUUCUAUUUUGUUGGUUUCUAGGACCGCCGUAAUGAUUAAUAGGGACAGUCGGGGGCAUCAGUAUUCAAUUGUCAGAGGUGAAAUUCUUGGAUCUAUUGAAGACUAACUACUGCGAAAGCAUUUGCCAAGGAUGUUUUCAUUGAUAAGGAACGAAAGUUAGGGGAUCGAAGACGAUCAGAUACCGUCGUAGUCUUAACUAUAAACUAUGCCGACUAGGGAUCGGACGAUGUUAUUUCUUGACGCGUUCGGCACCUUUCGAGAAAUCAAAGUGCUUGGGCUCCAGGGGGAGUAUGGUCGCAAGGCUGAAACUUAAAGAAAUUGACGGAAGGGCACCACCAGGGGUGGAACCUGCGGCUUAAUUUGACUCAACACGGGGAAACUCACCAGGUCCAGACACAGUGAGGAUUGACAGAUUGAGAGCUCUUUCUUGAUUCUGUGGGUGGUGGUGCAUGGCCGUUCUUAGUUGGUGGAGUGAUUUGUCUGCUUAAUUGCGAUAACGAACGAGACCUUAACCUGCUAAAUAGCCCGUACUGCUCUGGCAGUUCGCCGGCUUCUUAGAGGGACUAUCGG
RNAcentral lists this ribosomal RNA (730 nucleotides) under uncultured eukaryote. RNAcentral describes it as "SSU rRNA". It matches the Rfam family "Eukaryotic small subunit ribosomal RNA", at positions 669 to 1426 of the family's 1831-position model. The record is from RNAcentral.